Molecule: ribosomal RNA, 414 nt
Filed under: uncultured microorganism
Description: bacterial SSU rRNA
Rfam family: Archaeal small subunit ribosomal RNA
Source: RNAcentral
CAGCCGCCGCGGUAAUACCGGCGGCCCGAGUGGCGGCCACUAUUAUUGGGCUUAAAGCGUCCGUAGCCGGGGUGGUUAGUCUCCCGGGAAAUCUGGCCGCUUAACGGUCAGAAUUCCGGGAGAUACUGCCAGCCUAGGGACCGGGAGAGGCCGAGGGUAUUCCCGGAGUAGGGGUGAAAUCCUAUAAUCCCGGGAGGACCACCUGUGGCGAAGGCGCUCGGCUGGAACGGGUCCGACGGUGAGGGACGAAGGCCAGGGGAGCAAACCGGAUUAGAUACCCGGGUAGUCCUGGCUGUAAACGAUGCGGACUUUGUGUCGGACAAGCUAUGAGCUUGUCCGGUGCCGGAGGGAAACCGUUAAGUCCGCCGCCUGGGGAGUACGGCCGCAAGGCUGAAACUUAAAGGAAUUGGCGGG